Molecule: unclassified non-coding RNA, 204 nt
Filed under: Hevea brasiliensis (rubber tree)
Lineage: Eukaryota; Viridiplantae; Streptophyta; Magnoliopsida; Malpighiales; Euphorbiaceae
Source: RNAcentral
UUUCAUGAUUAGUUUCUUCUUUCCUUGCUUUCAUCUUCAUGUUGAAGUGUUCUGUUCUUUUUGAUCGUUGAUCUAGGAAGGUCAUCAUAGGGGUUGAGAAAAGUGGAUCUUUAUGUUGCUAUUGUUAGGAGUUCCGGUGUUUGAGGAACUAGCUAUAUCAUUGGGGAUCAUUUAUUUAGUUCGGGAAUUUGUGGUCUUAGGUCG